Long non-coding RNA from Capsicum annuum, 1350 nucleotides. RefSeq lists it as uncharacterized. The record is from RefSeq and is a predicted model, not a curated record. The transcript is spliced from 3 exons. Lineage: Eukaryota; Viridiplantae; Streptophyta; Magnoliopsida; Solanales; Solanaceae.
GCAAAAGCUAUGUGUAGUCCACCAGCUCUUAUAGGACUCUACAUAAUCCAGCUUCUAGCCUCAAAUAUUUUCCUUAUGACCAAAAAAGCAUUCUUAGGUAUUAGGAUAUCUUCUAAGGUUUUGUUCUUGAUGUAAUAUCCAUGUAUCCAUUUGAUCCACAUGCCUUAUUUAUUUAUGAAGAUAUUCCACAAUUGUUUCAGUCUUGCUGCUUUAUUCCAUAGGCAUAAAUUUGUAAUGUUCAACCCACCAGCAGUUAGAGGCUUACAGAUUGAUUCUUAUGAUACCAGAGCUUUCUUGGAUACUGUUACAUUGCCAAUCCACAAAAAAGUCCUGCAUAUAUGCUAUAUGGAUUUGAUUACUCUUUUGUGCAAUAGGAAAAUUUGUGCCCAGUAUGCUUGCACCCCAAAAAUAACUGAUUUGAUGAGCCGGACCCUUCCUACAUAAGACAACAUUUUUGCUGACCAACAUGUAUUCCUUGCUGUAAUUUUUUCUAUCAAAGGUUGUACUAAGAUAUGUUUAAUUUUCUAGAAGCUAAUAAGACUCCCAGGUAGCUGAAGGGAGGUGACCCCUUAAUAAAUCCCAACUCUUCCAAGAUCUCUCUUUUUGUGGGAUCUGCAACCCCAACAAUAUACAAAGAACUCUUGUCUAAGUUGUCCUUUAGUCUCGAGGCACGUGAGAAUCUCAAGAAUACAAUAUUUAUCAUCUGUACUAAUAAUAGAUCAACUUUACAAUAUAUUAAGAGAUUAUCUGUAAAGCAGAUGUGUGUGCUGGCUAUUUUCCAACACUUUGGAUGGUGAUUGAAGUCACUGUUCUCAGGCAUUUCUCUCAGUUCUCUUCCCAAGUACUCCAUGGCAAAGAAAAAGAGGUAGGGAGACAUAGGAUCUCCCUGCCUUAUUUCUCUCUUGGUUGAGACCUCCAUUCAUCAAUAGACACCCAAAGAAGGCUAUCUUAUUUUUAGCAAGAAAGAGUUUUACCUCUUUCUACUUAUGGGCUUGAUUCAAGCCCCUAAUGUUCCAAGUUGAGAUUAUCAUAAAGGUACAAGUUAUAGCGCGAACAUCAUAUUCAGAUAGUUUGUAGCUUCUGGUCAGCAGGUAAUGAGUCCUUUUGAUUCAAGGGAUCGAGUCAGUCAUAGUUUGAGUAGUAUUUUAUUUUUUCUCCAUUUAUUCGCAUUGAUUCGAGAUAGCUGGGGUUCAUAUCCCAGCUAGCUAUAGUCAAUACUAAUAGAGACGUCAUAGACAGUUAGUUGAGUUAAUGUUUUUGAUUCCAGUUUUGUUUCGUAUAAUCAGGGUUGUAACCAUUUAAAUAUAAUUUUGUAUUGAUCAUUUUCAAAAAUGAUUUAUCUUUCACUUA